AUAUCUUAUGAAAGGAGAGAAAGUUAGCACUCCCCUUGACAAGAAUGGAAGAGGCCCUCGGUCCUAACAGCAUACAUAGUUACCUCUGGCAUUGCCACCUCCUUCGUAGCAUCUAACCAUCAUUUUGA
This 128-nucleotide non-coding RNA is filed under the name Catagonus wagneri (Chacoan peccary). Lineage: Eukaryota; Metazoa; Chordata; Mammalia; Artiodactyla; Tayassuidae. The record is from RNAcentral.